GACGAACGCUGGCGGCGUGCCUAAUACAUGCAAGUAGGACGCAGUUGCGAACGUGUGAGUAACGCGUAGGUAACUACCUAUUAGAGGGGGAUAACUAUUGGAUACGAUUGCUAAUACCGCAUAUUAGUAGUUGGACCGGCGUUGUAUUUGCUAGUAGGUAGGGUAAUGGCCUACCUAGGCAACGAGACAUAGCCGAGCUGGGAGGGGGAUCGGCCACCCUGGGACUGAGACACGGCCCAGACGCCUACGGGAGGCAGCAGUAGGGAAUCUUCGGCAAUGGGGGGAACCCUGACCAGGCAACGCCGCGGGAGUGAAGAAGGUUUUCGGAGCGUAAAGCUCUGUUGUUAAGGAAGCGGUACUUAAACAGAAAGGAACGGCUAACUACGUGCCAGCAGCCGCGGUAAUAC
This 407-nucleotide ribosomal RNA is filed under the name uncultured bacterium. RNAcentral describes it as "partial 16S ribosomal RNA". It matches the Rfam family "Bacterial small subunit ribosomal RNA", at positions 28 to 526 of the family's 1533-position model. The record is from RNAcentral.